GCAUUCCAAAUCACGUGAUAUAAUAUGGCUGCUGGAUGGCAAAGUGUCAUGGCGUAUCUAAUGUUUACAUUGACCUUAAUUUGUAGAUGUUUGUAGAGAAAUAUCCUGUUUGGUUUUUUAUUGUGCAGCGAAAUUGUGAUAGCAAAUUAAAUAUAAAGUUAUUUAUCGCCUACAGACUGAAUUAUCCCAUAGUAAUUAUCAGUUUGUGUCAAUUUGUUUAAAAAAAGAAAAAACACCUUUCCUUGUGUUUGAUAGCAAGGGCUUUCUUGAGAAGCCUGUAAAUUGUGGGAAUAGGACAGACACAGACAGGGAUAAAGUCUCACUUUUUACUGUUCCCAAGGCUAUACAUUUCCCCCCAUGCAAUACAUUUAAAUGAAUUAUCCAAACAAAGGCAGGAACAAUGGAUAAAAGCAACAAGGAGAACAGAUCUAACAGAACUAAAAUUAAAAUAUGAGAGUAUGCAGUAAACAUUUUAUAAGUGGAACAAACAUCAGAUAUUUUAAAUGUUGGAAAAGGAGAAACUGUUGAAACUUAACCUAACACAAAUGUUUUUGACUAUUGAAGAUUUGGAUAAACAACAGAAGUUACUUUGGGCUAUAGCUACGUGCAGAUUUAUUUCCUUGUGGCUUCCUAUGUUUAUUCUUUUUAACUAUAGACUUUGAUAUGUUUUUAGUCUCAUGAAGAUUUAGUAAUGUAUUAUUUUAUGUAUAUUGUGAUAUUUAUGUCGAAUAAACAUUAUUAUUAUUA
This is a long non-coding RNA of Diabrotica virgifera virgifera (western corn rootworm), 747 nucleotides long. RefSeq lists it as uncharacterized. The record is from RefSeq and is a predicted model, not a curated record. NCBI's taxonomy places the organism in Eukaryota, Metazoa, Arthropoda, Insecta, Coleoptera, Chrysomelidae. The transcript has 2 exons.